This 254-nucleotide unclassified non-coding RNA is filed under the name plant metagenome. RNAcentral's name for it is "partial contains small subunit ribosomal RNA, internal transcribed spacer 1, and 5.8S ribosomal RNA". The stretch from base 1 to 52 matches the Rfam family "Eukaryotic small subunit ribosomal RNA", at positions 1780 to 1831 of the family's 1831-position model. The record is from RNAcentral.
GAGUAAAAGUCGUAACAAGGUCUCCGUUGGUGAACCAGCGGAGGGAUCAUUACCGAGUUUUCCAACUCCCAAACCCUUCUGUGAACCUAUACCGACACGUUGCUUCGGCGGGAUCGCCCCGGCGCCCUCAGCGGCGGCCGGGCCCAGGCGCCCGCCGGAGGACCACACCAAACUCUUCAGAUUUUCUUCAGGCGUCUACUGAGUGACACAAAAAAAAUGAAUCAAAACUUUCAACAACGGAUCUCUUGGUUCUG